RNAcentral lists this long non-coding RNA (1092 nucleotides) under Ornithorhynchus anatinus (platypus). Its description in RNAcentral is "lncRNA (ENSOANG00000044157.1)". The record is from RNAcentral. Lineage: Eukaryota; Metazoa; Chordata; Mammalia; Monotremata; Ornithorhynchidae.
GGGGCAGGGCAGUCAGCAUUCCACCCGGGAAUGCCUCUCCAGGUGUGAGCCCCGGGGGGCCACUUGGCUGCAGCCACCAAAGUUGAGUCCGGAAAGCAGAGGGGCAAGGGCAGGGCUGUGCCCGCAGGUGACCACCUCAGCAGCCCAAGAGGACGGAGAGAGACAAGAAAGGCCUCCUGACCCUGCUUGGACAAAUCUAGAGUGAGGACAGAACCAGGGGUGGCCUCACCCCAGAAGGCCUGGACCAGGGGAGACUUAAUAAGAGUUUUGUAGGCAGCCUCCAGUGGUUAGCUGGAAAGACAGAGGGAUGGAAGAGCCCUGGGCGGGAGGGGCAGGUGAGUCAAAAGCUGAGAAGUGGAAAUUCCCCAGAGAGGGAGAGGGGUUGUCUUCCUUUUUCAUGGAAGACAAAGGUGUAUGUGUUUGCAUGUACAUGUGUGAGGGGUGUGUGGAGUGUGUGUGUGUGUGUGUGUGUGUGUGUAUGUGCUCAGCAUGUGUAUGAUCAGAAAAGCUUGGGGCUGCUGGACCAAUCACAAGCUCCUGAUUAUAGGACAGUCAAUCUCUGUGCCUUCCAGACCUGGAAGCUCCAGGAUUGCAUCAGAAGGUGAAGAUUCAGUUUCCUGCUGAUUCCAACCCCCUGCCCUGCCCCACAGCCUGAAUUUAGGGAGUUCUUAUUUGUAUGGAGAAUGAGAGAAAGAAUGACCGUAUUCUGGAUCUGGGAGAGAUUCCCAGGCUCCUCAGAUCUGGGGGUUGGUGGGCGGUGGGCCGAAGGCAGAGCUGACUUUGGACAUGGGGCCACCUCAAAGUGGGGAAGCGUUUAUUGUCUCCUCCUGUACCAGGUGACUUCAGGACACUACCCUGCAUAGUAGUUAUCACAUCCGUGUCCACCCAAGGCCCUGAAGAUAAAGCACUUCUCUAGGGGAACACCAAGCACCCCUUACCCCUCGCUCAGAGCCAUUGUGUUCCCUCCCAAGACCCUGUCAACGGAGGGGCUGCUGUUGACUGAGGAGAGGAUGGCUGGGCCAGGCCCUGCCCCCCGACAGUGUGCCCUGAGCAGCUGUCUCUCUUACUGGUCCUGGCCACAGAACAGUUCUC